Molecule: ribosomal RNA, 424 nt
Filed under: Verrucomicrobiota bacterium
Lineage: Bacteria; Pseudomonadati; Verrucomicrobiota
Description: Verrucomicrobia bacterium partial 16S ribosomal RNA
Rfam family: Bacterial small subunit ribosomal RNA
Source: RNAcentral
UGAGGAAUAUUGGUCAAUGGACGCAAGUCUGAACCAGCCAAGUAGCGUGCAGGAUGACGGCCCUAUGGGUUGUAAACUGCUUUUAUAUGGGGAUAAAGUGGGGAACGUGUUCCCUUUUGCAGGUACCAUAUGAAUAAGGACCGGCUAAUUCCGUGCCAGCAGCCGCGGUAAUACGGAAGGUCCAGGCGUUAUCCGGAUUUAUUGGGUUUAAAGGGAGCGUAGGCCGUUUGGUAAGCGUGUUGUGAAAUGUAGGAGCUCAACUUCUAGAUUGCAGCGCGAACUGUCAGACUUGAGUGCGCACAACGUAGGCGGAAUUCAUGGUGUAGCGGUGAAAUGCUUAGAUAUCAUGAAGAACUCCGAUUGCGAAGGCAGCUUACGGGAGCGCAACUGACGCUGAAGCUCGAAGGUGCGGGUAUCGAACAGG